This 2615-nucleotide long non-coding RNA is filed under the name Homo sapiens (human). Its description in RNAcentral is "HSALNT0374156". Lineage: Eukaryota; Metazoa; Chordata; Mammalia; Primates; Hominidae. The record is from RNAcentral.
ACCACCGCUACCACCGCCACCACCGCCGGGGCUACCCGCAAUGGGAAGCUGCCGGCCUCACAGAGCAUGCGCCACUCCUCGCACAUGCUCACUUGAAGAAGAGUAAGGAAAGUGCUGGGGAGGCUGUCAGCUACUGACGUUCGACUUCAGGUUCCCUCCAGGUGGAAGAACGAGGACCAGAAAGCAAGGGGGAACGUGCCCAUCGCCAGAGGAGGAGUGGCACGCUCUUCUGCUACCUCUUCUCCAAGGCUCUGCUGCCAACAGGAAGAUUUACUGUGAAUUGUGCUGGUUAAUUCAGAGUUUAAGGCAGAGAAAACCAUCCCAAUUAGAAGUGCCUUUAGCGAUCUUAUUUUAUAUGGUUUUUGUCAUUAGGAUUUACGCUUGUUUAACACAGCUUUUACUUACAAAGACAGGUAGUAAUCUAGCACAUUCUUUUUUGUGUGUGAAAGUAUUUUGUGUGUGAAAGUAUAACAGAUAGGCUAGUAUUCACAAGCCAGAGUCAUUCCCAAAUUCUUGUUCUCAACGGAGCAAUAAUAUUUUUUAAAUUACUCUUUUUUAUUGACUCCUCACUCACCUAAGAGUGCACUUUUAUCUCUUGGCAGUGGUCAUUUAAUGGUUUAUUUUUUUCUGCCCAAACUUACAUUUUUAAAGAUAAUUCUUGAAUGCGAUCUGAAACAAUAAUUGUGACGGAGACUGUAUAGCGUCUGAAAAUGUCAGAUCCAUCACAUAUCUUGUUGUUGUCUAUAAAAAAGUAACAUUUGCUCAGUCCUUUGUUCCAAGCUAACCUACGAACCCCAUCUAAGUAUAUGCUCUAGAAAUAUACGUGCCAAUGCACUUUGAUUCCUACUACGUUUUAUCCUUUGACUCUCAAUUUGAAGAGUUUCCUAAUUUACAGUCCUGACAAAAUAAUUUAUAAGUUCUGUCAUCCCAGUACUGUAUCUUUCAUCUAUGUACUAGUUCUUAUAUCUGUGCCUCUUCUUCGGAUGGCCUUCUCUUAAAAAAAAAUAAAAUAAAUGUUAAAAAAUCCUCCUUAGUGUUUGAGAAGUGCAAACAACAAGGAAUAGGAAAGUAAAUUAAUUCUAGUUUUAGGGUGGAAGGUUGCUGAAAGCAAUGCAUUUUUUUCUGAAGCUUUAAAUAAUGGAUGGAUUUCAUUUAGUUUUUUUAAAGAUAAUUAGCAGUGGGAUAAACAUAGGAACAAAGGACAAGACAUGUGGAAUCAUAGUAUUUUAGUACUGUAAUUAGCCCUGUUAAGUUUUUGUAUUUGUCUUGUUUCCUUACCUAAGUUCCUUCAGAGCUUGCUGCUUUUGUGUCUCCUUCAGCCACUUCAGGACUUUGCAUGUAGUAGGUAUCCAGUAAGUAUUUAUUAGACUAAAUUUCUAUCCUAAUGCUUCAGCACAGUUAAAGACCUCAGUGUUGACCAGGCAGCCCCUAACCCUGGAGUGAGAACCAAGACAAUGGUGUAGAGGCAGCUAAAUUCUAAGAAUUCUAAGGCCUGACAGGUAAGCAAUGAGAGGGCCCAUUACUAUUGCAAGACCUAGCAGGGUAGCUAAAAGGCUCUGAAAUCAGACAGCCCUGGAAUUGGAUCCUGACUCUGCUACUUAAUACUUGUCUGGCUUUGGGCAAAUUAUCUCCUCUGAAUAAUGCUCAAAAGAAUACCCACUACAUGAGAUUGAGGGAGGACUUAAAGGAUCUAGGAUGUCCAACUUGGCACAUGAAUUUUCACAAAUGGUAGCACAUACUAAACAAAACACUAGGUUUUCCGUAGGGUAGCAAUGGUGUCUGUUCAACCAUCACAGGCUCCUAGCACAGGGUCUAGCCCUGAACAGGAGGGAAAUAGAUGUUGGCUGAAUGAAUGAAUGUUGCUUGCACAGAAAACAUUUACAGCGCAGGCUCAGGUGGUGGAAUGUGCAGUCACUGCCCAUUUAGAGUUUCUAGUGGACAUUGACCCGCGUGGCUGCCCUGGUCUCCGGGCUCUUCCCACCAUUCAUUAAUUUCGCUUCAAUCUUUACUGCUGUUCAGUCCCAGACAGGCCCCUACGGAGCCUGAUGGGUACACUCAAAACCCGGAAACUGGAUAACUUGCUAAGAAGCCCGAUGUCAUUGAGCUGCGCAACUAGGCGUGCGCAGAGUCGCACACAUGCUCACUUAGGUAUCCGAGAGUGGCAUUUCUGUUGCGGUUGGCAGCGUUUCCUUCCACGGCAGCGGCAGCGGUCGCUCUCCUCAAAAUUGAUAGCCAGUGCAGCGUUUUUUCUCCUCCUCCUCCUCUUCCUGCCUCCGCACGGCGCGCUCCCCGGUCCCUGCAACUGCCACAGCUACCGCCUUGGCAGCUGGGCAACUUGGAAGGCUCCCCUGGGAUGGCGGGGGAGUGGGGCGCAUGCCAGAAAGAAAAAGGCAUUUGGAGUCACCCUUACUUCUACUGUCAAGGGGACGUGAAGGAGAGUGUGGUCACAAGUCGCGAGGGUCGCCUGAACCGUCGCUGCAGAUCGGAGACGUGGGUUUCUGGCAGUAUGCAAAGCAAGCGUCCCCUCCCGCCGCUCCUGCGAGCUCUACUACCGAAUGCCUUACGCAGCCCUUGUGUUUGGGGAAAGAGGGGGACCUAUACAGAAUGAAAAAACA